AUUGAACGCUGGCGGCAGGCUUAACACAUGCAAGUCGAGCGGAGAUGAGAUGCUUGCACCUUAUCUUAGCGGCGGACGGGUGAGUAAUGCUUAGGAAUCUGCCUAUUAGUGGGGGACAACAUUCCGAAAGGAAUGCUAAUACCGCAUACGUCCUACGGGAGAAAGCAGGGGAUCUUCGGACCUUGCGCUAAUAGAUGAGCCUAAGUCGGAUUAGCUAGUUGGUGGGGUAAAGGCCUACCAAGGCGACGAUCUGUAGCGGGUCUGAGAGGAUGAUCCGCCACACUGGGACUGAGACACGGCACAGACUCCUACGGGAGGCAGCAGUGGGGAAUAUUGGACAAUGGGGGGAACCCUGAUCCAGCCAUGCCGCGUGUGUGAAGAAGGCCUUAUGGUUGUAAAGCACUUUAAGCGAGGAGGAGGCUACUGAGACUAAUACUCUUGGAUAGUGGACGUUACUCGCAGAAUAAGCACCGGCUAACUCUGUGCCAGCAGCCGCGGUAA
Molecule: ribosomal RNA, 501 nt
Filed under: uncultured bacterium
Lineage: Bacteria
Description: partial 16S ribosomal RNA
Rfam family: Bacterial small subunit ribosomal RNA
Source: RNAcentral